This 371-nucleotide unclassified non-coding RNA is filed under the name uncultured Nocardioidaceae bacterium. RNAcentral describes it as "contains 16S-23S intergenic spacer region". Lineage: Bacteria; Bacillati; Actinomycetota; Actinomycetes; Propionibacteriales; Nocardioidaceae. The record is from RNAcentral.
UCCGAGUUACCCCGGCAGUCUCCUAUGAGUCCCCAACAUUACUUGCUGGCAACAUAGGACGAGGGUUGCGCUCGUUGCGGGACUUAACCCAACAUCUCACGACACGAGCUGACGACAGCCAUGCACCACCUGUAUAGAGCCCUUGCGGACCUGCCAUCUCUGACAGUUUUCCCUAUAUGUCAAAUCCAGGUAAGGUUCUUCGCGUUGCAUCGAAUUAAUCCACAUGCUCCACCGCUUGUGCGGGCCCCCGCCAAUUCCUUUGAGUUUCAACCUUGCGGCCGUAGUCCCCAGGCGGUUCACUUAAUGCGUUAGCUGCGGCACUGAGGGAGAACCCCCAACACCUAGUGAACAUAGUUUAGGGCCAAGACUAC